Molecule: ribosomal RNA, 800 nt
Filed under: uncultured bacterium
Lineage: Bacteria
Description: bacterial SSU rRNA
Rfam family: Bacterial small subunit ribosomal RNA
Source: RNAcentral
AGAGUUUGAUCAUGGCUCAGGAUGAACGCUGGCGGCAUGCCUAAGACAUGCAAGUCGAACGAAGUGACCCAAUGAAGUUUGCGUGCUUGCACAAAAAUGGAUUUGGAUUUUCACUUAGUGGCGAAAGGGUGAGUAACACGUGGGUUAUCUACCCUCGAGACUGGGAUAACAGUUAGAAAUGAUUGCUAAUACCGGAUGAUAUAAAGAGGAAUACGUUCCUUUUUAUUAAAAGGAGCCUUUAAAGCUUCACUUGAGGAUGAGCCUGCGUCGUAUUAGCUUGUUGGUGGGGUAAUGGCCUACCAAGGCGACGAUGCGUAGCCGACCUGAGAGGGUGAUCGGCCACACUGGGACUGAGACACGGCCCAGACUCCUACGGGAGACAGCAGUUAGGAAUAUUCGUCAAUGGAGGAAACUCUGAACGAGCAAUGCCGCGUGAAGGAUGACGGUCCUUUGGAUUGUAAACUUCUGUUGUUAGGAAAGAAUCACUUAAGUAGGAAAUGACUUAAGUUUGACGGUACCUUUCAAGAAAGCUCCGGCUAACUACGUGCCAGCAGCCGCGGUAAUACGUAGGGAGCGAGCGUUAUCCGGAUUCAUUGGGUGUAAAGCGUGUGUAGGCGGUUUCUUAAGUCUAUGGUCUAAGCCUGGAGCUUAACUCCAGUUCGCCAUAGAAACUGAGUUACUUGAGUGUGGUAGAGGCAAGUGGAAUUUCUAGUGUAGCGGUGGAAUGCGUAGAUAUUAGAAGGAACACCAGUGGCGAAAGCGACUUGCUGGGCCAUUACUGACGCUGAGACACGAAAGCG